Molecule: ribosomal RNA, 456 nt
Filed under: uncultured organism
Description: partial 16S ribosomal RNA
Rfam family: Bacterial small subunit ribosomal RNA
Source: RNAcentral
ACGUACACUCCUACGGGAGGCAGCAGUGGGGAAUCUUGCGCAAUGGGCGAAAGCCUGACGCAGCCAUGCCGCGUGAAUGAUGAAGGUCUUAGGAUUGUAAAAUUCUUUCACCGGGGACGAUAAUGACGGUACCCGGAGAAGAAGCCCCGGCUAACUUCGUGCCAGCAGCCGCGGUAAUACGAAGGGGGCUAGCGUUGCUCGGAAUUACUGGGCGUAAAGGGAGCGUAGGCGGACAUUUAAGUCAGGGGUGAAAUCCCGGGGCUCAACCUCGGAAUUGCCUUUGAUACUGGGUGUCUUGAGUAUGAGAGAGGUGUGUGGAACUCCGAGUGUAGAGGUGAAAUUCGUAGAUAUUCGGAAGAACACCAGUGGCGAAGGCGACACACUGGCUCAUUACUGACGCUGAGGCUCGAAAGCGUGGGGAGCAAACAGGAUUAGAAACCCGAGUAGUCCCAUGAU